Molecule: non-coding RNA, 126 nt
Organism: Triticum aestivum (bread wheat)
Lineage: Eukaryota; Viridiplantae; Streptophyta; Magnoliopsida; Poales; Poaceae
Source: Rfam
CAGCUACUCCCUGCGUCCGAAAAAAUUUGUCCCUCAAAAGGAUGCAUCUAGCACCAAGUUAGUGCUAGAUACAUCCAUUUGAGGUACAAGUUUGGAACAAGCUUUUUUGGAUGGAGGGAGUACACA